AGUCCACAUCGACGGGGAGGUUUGGCACCUCGAUGUCGGCUCAUCACAUCCUGGGGCUGUAGUAGGUGCCAAGGGUUGGGCUGUUCGCCCAUUAAAGUGGUACGCGAGCUGGGUUCAGAACGUCGUGGGACAGUUCGGUCCCUAUCCGUCGCAGGCGUAGGAAAUUUGAGAAGACCUGUCCUUAGUACGAGAGGACCGGGAUGGACGUACCUCUGGUGUACCAGUUGU
RNAcentral lists this ribosomal RNA (228 nucleotides) under Clostridioides difficile. Its description in RNAcentral is "partial 23S ribosomal RNA". It matches the Rfam family "Bacterial large subunit ribosomal RNA", at positions 2497 to 2724 of the family's 2925-position model. Lineage: Bacteria; Bacillati; Bacillota; Clostridia; Peptostreptococcales; Peptostreptococcaceae. The record is from RNAcentral.